This 467-nucleotide ribosomal RNA is filed under the name uncultured bacterium. RNAcentral describes it as "partial 16S ribosomal RNA". It matches the Rfam family "Bacterial small subunit ribosomal RNA", at positions 28 to 506 of the family's 1533-position model. The record is from RNAcentral.
GACGAACGCUGGCGGCGUGCUUAACACAUGCAAGUCGAACGGAAAGGCCCUGCUUUUGUGGGGUGCUCGAGUGGCGAACGGGUGAGUAACACGUGAGUAACCUGCCCUUGACUUUGGGAUAACUUCAGGAAACUGGGGCUAAUACCGGAUAGGAGCUCCUGCUGCAUGGUGGGGGUUGGAAAGUUUCGGCGGUUGGGGAUGGACUCGCGGCUUAUCAGCUUGUUGGUGGGGUAGUGGCUUACCAAGGCUUUGACGGGUAGCCGGCCUGAGAGGGUGACCGGCAACAUGGGGACUGAGAUACGGCCCAGACUCCUACGGGAGGCAGCAGGGGGGAAUAUUGCACAAUGGGCGGAAGCCUGAUGCAGCAACGCCGCGUGCGGGAUGACGGCCUUCGGGUUGUAAACCGCUUUCGCCUGUGACGAAGCGUGAGUGACGGUAAUGGGUAAAGAAGCACCGGCGAACUACGU